This 88-nucleotide transfer RNA is filed under the name Xylanibacter muris. RNAcentral's name for it is "tRNA-Ser". It matches the Rfam family "tRNA". From Rfam's summary of the family: Transfer RNA (tRNA) molecules are approximately 80 nucleotides in length. Their secondary structure includes four short double-helical elements and three loops (D, anti-codon, and T loops). The record is from RNAcentral. Lineage: Bacteria; Pseudomonadati; Bacteroidota; Bacteroidia; Bacteroidales; Prevotellaceae.
GGAAAGUUGGCAGAGUGACCGAAUGCGCUGGACUCGAAAUCCGGUAUACCUUUUUUAGGUAUCGGGGGUUUGAAUCCCUCACUUUCCG